RNAcentral lists this ribosomal RNA (498 nucleotides) under uncultured Actinomycetes bacterium. RNAcentral describes it as "bacterial SSU rRNA". It matches the Rfam family "Bacterial small subunit ribosomal RNA", at positions 355 to 867 of the family's 1533-position model. The record is from RNAcentral. Lineage: Bacteria; Bacillati; Actinomycetota; Actinomycetes.
UGGGGAAUCUUGCACAAUGGGCGAAAGCCUGAUGCAGCAACGCCGCGUGCGGGAAGAAGGCCCUAGGGUUGUAAACCGCUUUCAGCAGGGAAGAAAAUGACGGUACCUGUAGAAGAAGGUGCGGCCAACUACGUGCCAGCAGCCGCGGUGACACGUAGGCACCAAGCGUUGUCCGGAUUUAUUGGGCGUAAAGAGCUCGUAGGCGGUUCGGUAAGUCGGGUGUGAAAACUCUGGGCUCAACCCAGAGCCGCCACCCGAUACUGCUGUGACUCGAGUGCGGUAGGGGAGCGGGGAAUUCCUGGUGUAGCGGUGAAAUGCGCAGAUAUCAGGAGGAACACCAGUGGCGAAGGCGCCGCUCUGGGCCGUGACUGACGCUGAGGAGCGAAAGCGUGGGUAGCAAACAGGAUUAGAUACCCUGGUAGUCCACGCCGUAAACGUUGGGCACUAGGUGUGGGUCUCAACCAACGAGAUCCGCGCCGUCGCUAACGCAUUAAGUCG